This 6977-nucleotide long non-coding RNA is filed under the name Zea mays. RNAcentral's name for it is "long non-coding RNA (ZMAY_LNC001776)". Lineage: Eukaryota; Viridiplantae; Streptophyta; Magnoliopsida; Poales; Poaceae. The record is from RNAcentral.
ACAAGUGUACCUCCGAUUGAAAGGAGAUGAAAGUACAAGCGUGACGCAAAAAGCGAAUGCCAAGUCAGCGUGAACAGUACGGGGGUACUGUUCACCUAUUUAUAGGCACGGGACACAACCCAUACAAAAUUACAUUCAUGCCCUUUACACUUGGUAAUAAUUCUAUAGUAAUCUGUCGAGGUCUAAAUAGCCUUUUCAUCUUUAAGUCGGUUUCACUUUUUGUUGUCGCGCCGAAGCUUUCCUGCUCACACCUUCGGCGCUGUAUCAACCUUCGUAUUACUCUGGUCUACUGUGAUGCCGACUUGAAUCUGAAGAUACCUGUUCACACAUUAUACUCCAGAAAUACUGUUAAAUCCUGUUUUUGAGGACCUUCGGAGGCCGAAGGUCCCCAACAGUAGCCCCUCGCAAUAUUAAUUUGUUUAAAAUAAUAAAUUUAGAUUGCGACAUGGACGAAGGCUUUUCGCCGAAGGUCCGAAAAAACACCUUCCCUUUGCUAGAAUAGCAACAUUCACUGACAAGCGGGGUCUUUCAAUUUUCAACGCCCUUGGCGUAUAUAUACGGCCAUACCGCAGACUCAUUUGAUACGCUCUCUGGCCCACUGCUCCCGCUCACUCAAUUUUUAGCUCUUGUGCAUUACGAUUUGCUAAGCUUUUUGUUUUGAAGCUUCGGCUUUGAAAAUAGUUUUUUAGUGCCUCCGAAGAUGUCUGAAGAUAAGAAGACUGCUGCUGAGAUGAAGCUGAGCCUCGACGAGGAGAAAAACUUGGGGUUUCUCAUAGCGAUGUCCAAGACCAAUACAGAAAAAAUCACCAAGGAGAUUCUGGAAGGUUUGUCUGAGGAUACUGGUGACAGUGACAGCUAUGAUGUGGACAGUGGCGGUGAAGACUCCGAAGAUCGCCCCUGGCGACCAAGUCAUGCGGUUUUCGGCAAAUCAGCUAUCAAAGAAAACCAUCUUGCCAAUAUGAGGGGAAGGUAUUUCCGGGAUUUGUCCAUUGUGAGGGCGGACGAAGGGGAAAUGACUUGUCCACACCCUGAAGAGAAUGAAGUCGUGGUGUACCGAAGCUUUUUGAAAGCUGGAUUGCGAUUCCCCUUGAGCAGCUUCGUCGUGGAGGUGCUAAAAAUCUUCGAAGUUUAUCUGCACCAACUAACCCCCGAGGCAAUCAUAAGGCUGAAUAUCUUCAUUUGGGCCGUGAGAAGCCAAGGUCUGAAGCCUGACGCAAAAAGCUUCUGUAAUAUUCACGAAUUAUCAUAUGAAACAAAACCUUGGGGUAAGGAACAGUACCAUAAUAAUUUCGGCUGCUAUAGUUUCGUUUCCCGGUCCGGGUCAAGCUGCCCCGUGCCAACUUUUCGGAAGAGAUGGCCCGGCGACUGGACAACAGAAUGGUUUUAUGUGAAAAAUGAUCUGUCAGCUCGAGAAGAUAUCAAAGGUGUAAUUAUGCGCCCUAUUUGGCAAAGCUUCGGCCUUCGGAGGCCGAAGGUUGAAAUGAAUGACGCUGCCGAAGAAUGCCAGAGGGCAUUCGGCGUUAUCUGUUCUUUUAUUGGAACAAGAGAUUUAGUUCAAGAGCAUAUUGCCUUCAGGGUAUGGCCGCUUGCGGAGAAAUAGGAAAUGCCGCAAGAAACCAUAAAAGAGGCCGACGAAGGUGGUCUUAUCAGAUUGAAGUACACUUUUAAAUUUGGAGAUAAAUUCGCUGAGCCAGAUGAUGACUGGUUAAAAAGUAUUGAGAAUUUAAGUGAUGAACUGCUUGGGGCUUAUUCGAAGGCUGAAGAUACUGCAAUGUCAGCAGCCUUCGGAGGCCGAAAAAAGAAGAGGCUGAAUCGGGUAUUUGAUGCAAUCGGGUUUGUCUACCCUGACUAUUGCUAUCCCAUUCGAAGGCAAAAGAGAAAAAACACAAUCUCUUCAAAAGAAGAAGCUGCCACUGCUCCUAACGAGCCAGAACCAAAAAGAAAGAAGAUAAAAGUCCUCACACACCGGCCGCGUUAUAUUGAACCAGCUUCGGUGCCUGAGUUUAUCGGAGAAACUUCUUCGGCCACCGAAGCUGAAAAACUAACCGAGCCAACUUUGCUGCCAGAAGUCGCAGAAACGGCCGAAGCGCCAAAAAAGAUAGAAUUGGAACAAUCAAAGAUUUUAUUAUCAGAAACGAAAGAGAAGGCAGAAGAGCCGUUCACAGAAAAAAUGGAAGAGGCAAAAGAAGCAACUGAUGGAUCAAAAACAUCAGAAGUUUUGAGUCCUGCAUCAAACAUUGAGACAUUAAAAAAUCAAAAAGUGCCAGUAGUAACUCCGAAAAGAAAGAGGAUGGCUAAUGUGCUAGAUGUGCUGGAAACGAUCAACUCUUCAAGCACACCUCCGAAGAAGGCUGCUAUCAUUCCUGAAACAACAAUUGAAAUUUCUGGUUCUGAAGCUCCAGAGCAAAAAACUGAAGCCGAAGCUGGUCCCUCAGAGCCCGCAAAGAUAAAAUCCUUGGAGAGUGAGGCAGAAAAAAUAACAAAGCCAGCUUUUGUUGAAGAAAUCGGUGUCAUGGCCCCCGAAGCAUCCCCCAAAGUUUGUGAUUAUAUUGUUCGUCAUGCUUCGGGGAAAAAACUAUCAGAAAAAGAAAAGCAAGAGGCCCAGCUCUAUGCCCGAAAACUGAAGUAUCCAAAGGGGGCAUUAAUAUUCAAUGGUAGUGGAGAAGAAGACUUCUUGUAUUGUCUCCCUGACAGCAAGGAGAUUUCUGUCUGUCGGGAGAUGAGCAAGAGCUUCGGAUUCCCAACCUUAGAAGACGGGCUCUCGGUGCUGUCGAAGGAUGAUCUGGCCGACAGCCUGGCUUACAAUAGCUUGAAGGUGCAACAAAUGCAAUCCUUGCAUUUUUUGUUGAGUCAAAGAUUUUUUGUUUGAUUAACCCUAUUGACACACACAUAUUUCUCUGUGUAGGGCCUAAUACUUAGCAAUGCCCUCAGGGCUCAGAAAGAUGCUGAAGACGAAGGGUGCUCUAUAGCCCUGAGCAACCUUCGUUCCGAAGUUAUUGAACUGAGGAACGAAGGUCUUGAAAAAGAUAAAAUAUUACACUCAUUGAUAAAUAAAAUAAAGGAAGACGAAGCUAUUUUUAAAGGUCAAGCUGAAGUUCAAAAACGCGAAAUUGAAGACCUUCGGAAACAACUGGCCAGAGCUAAGGAAGAACGCAUACUUGAAGAAACAAGGCGAGAACUCAGCGACCAAUGGGCAGAUCACCUAGAAGCAACUGUUGAAGAGCUUCGUUCGUCCAAAAAGAGAUGCUACAAUAAAUCUAUAGAGUGUGUUAAGAAAUUAAAAACUAGCUUCGCCAGAGUCGGCGCCUUUUCAAGCGAAGAAAACUUUACGAGAGGCAAUCCCGAAGGUCCUAUCGAAUGGAUCGACCACGAAGCUGAGGCCUUCGAAGAAAUUUUAAAUAGCCGUGGAGAUAUAUGUGCUUUCUCUGGUGCCAGAGGGAUUGCCACCAUUUUAGAGAAGAAUGGCUGCGAACAUGUAAAAAUCUUAGCACAAUCCGAAGCAGCUUUGUCUUUUGAAGAUGCAGGAGAUCCUUCGGCCGAAGCUAGUAUAAUUGGUGGAAAGUUUUUUACUGAUAUCUGGGAAAAUGGUGGCCGAGAAAUGGCCGGUGAAAUUAUUCGAAAAAGUGAGAAGGGGAUUCAUGAUGCUAGGGAAGUAGCUGAGGCUGCUGAAAAGAGCGUAGAAGCCGAAGGUCAAUUAGGUAUUAACUAAUAGUUUUUAUUGUGUUGUAAUCUUAAGCUUUACGAUUUGUUUGCGAUUUGUAAUAGCAAUGCAGCCGUGUCCUGUCCUACUUCAGAUCCUGCUAAAGCGUCUUCGGGCCCUCAGCCGAAAGGAGACGACGAAAUCAAAAAGAUGGCUGAAGAUAUUUUGGACGAAGUCGUCAAUCGGCUCCUGAACGAGGCUGCAGAAGUCGUUUUGAGAGAAGAUUGAGUAUUUUGUGUAUAAACUUCUGGAAUGUAAUAUACUGUAAUAUUUUGUAACCCCAAAUGUAAUAUACCUAUUUUUGUUAGUCAAUUCUUUACGAUGCAUGAAACUUUAUACGUACCGCUUUUGAGUCUUUGACGAAAAAACACCUUCCCUUCUUUUCAUGCUUCGUGAAGAAGAAGUUUUCUUUGUCACAACAAUAUCCAGUGUUCUGAUGAACAAUAUCCAAGCUUCGUAAAGAUAUUUUCCGAAGCUACACUUCCGAAGCUACACUUCGUAAAGAUAUUUUCAAAGCGUUCUUCUGUACAUUGAUGAUGCGUCCACCUCUUGUACUAUAUGCAAAAUGAUGUAUGAUGCUUAUGCUAUGCAAAAUGAUGUGAUGAUGUUAUGUUAUGCGAGGUGAUGUUUAUUCCGAAGAUACAUACGCAUUCCUGCAAUAAAACACAAUUCUUUUAUAAGCCUCCCUUAGGAGCUUCUUCGCCUUUUACUUCGGCGGAAUCAGCGUUUAUUUUUCGCUGUAAGCCUCCCUUAGGAGCUUCUUCGCCUUUUACUUUCAGCGGUAUUCGCGUUGACUUUUCGCGCUUCGCCUUUUACUUAGGCGGUAUCAGCGUUGACUUUUCGCUGUAUGCUCUGCAUUCCCUUUGGAACGACUUUGGAGCAGAAAACUUACACUGCGCUCUCUUUGGAACGACUUUUUUGUGACUUCGGCAAACUUACUCUGCGUUCCUUAGAACGACUUUUUGUUGCUUCGAAGAAUUUUCGAUAGUUCGAAGGUCCUUUUUAUUAUCACAAGUCUUUGAACUUCAAUCAAUUUAAACCUGUGAAGAAAACAUAUUUUCCUUGUAGGAAUCAACGAAACUAAUUACAUGAAAUCCAAACAAUGUCCUUUAUUACAGAAAAUAAAACUGAAUGAAAAAGAUUGCUUAUCAAGGUAGGAUAUUUGUCAAUAGAUGUGCUUUGACUCUGGCACAGUGCUAUUGACUGUACGAGCUUCGGACUGCUCUCUGAAGUCCCUCUGGUGCGGAGCAUACUGGCUCCCUUCUGGCUGCUGGCCUUGUUGCAACGGAGGUGGAGGCGGAGGCUGUUGACAGGAAGCUUGAGGCUGACUCGCCGAAGCAACAGAAACUGCAGGAUGAUUGCCCACAUAUUCUGGGAUGUAGGGCGAAUGAUACGAAGCUGUAUGCAUGACCUGCUUCGGCUGAGCUUGUUGCGCUGCAGCUUCGGCUAUUUCCUUUUGUUUCUGAAUAGUAACAUGGCACAUCCUGGUGGUAUGGCCUUUGUUCUCACCGCAGAAUAAGCAAAAGAUUCUUCUCGGUUGAUCGCCAAAUCUUCCUCCGAAGCCCCUGGCACCUCUGCCUCUUGGAGCUGGUGGGCGGAAUGAGCUUUGCUAUUGCCCCGAAGCCUGUGAGGAACAUUGUGGCCUUUGCUGUUGGCUUCCUCUAUCAUCAUUUUGUGUAGAGUUAUGAAUUGAUCUCACGUGCUUCGGGUAAAACCUCCCUCCGAAGCCCCUGGUCAUUUCAGAAAACCUGAAAGCCUCCUCCCUUCUUUGGCGAAAAUCAUUAUCGGCCCGAAUGUACUCGUCCAUCUUCUGAAGCAACUUCUCCAAAGUUUGAGGAGGCUUCCUGGCGAAGUACUGAGCUGACGGUCCUGGCCGAAGCCCCUUGAUCAUGGCCUCAAUGACAAUUUCAUUGGGCACCGUUGGUGCUUGUGCCCUCAAACGCAAGAACCUUCGGACAUAUGCCUGAAGGUAUUCUUCGUGAUCCUGGGUACACUGAAACAGAGCCUGAGCAGUAACCGGCUUCGUCUGAAAUCCUUGGAAGCUAGUUAACAACAAGUCCUUCAGCUUCUGCCAUGAAGUGAUCGUUCCUGGCCGAAGGGAGGAAUACCAGGUUUGAGCAACACUCCUGACAGCCAUAACGAAAGAUUUGGCCAUGACUGAAGCAUUGCCACCAUACGAAGAUACUGUUGCUUCGUAGCUCAUCAAAAACUGCUUCGGGUCUGAGUGGCCGUCAAAUACAGGAAGCUGGGGCGGCUUGUAGGACGGAGGCCAAGGUGCAGCCUGCAGCUCAGCGGACAGAGGAGAAGCAUCAUCAAAAACAAAAUUUCCGUGAUGGAAAUUGUCAUACCAGUCAUCCUCGUUGGGAAAACCCUCCUGAUGAAGAUCUUGAUGCUGAGGCCUUCGGUACUGCUCAUCCUGAGCAAGAUGACGAACUUCUUCAGAGGCUUCGUCUAUCUGCCUUUGUAGUUCAGCCAGCCUGGCCAUCUUUUCCUUCUUCCUUUGUACUUCUUGAUGAAGCAUCUCCAUGUUUCUGAUUUCUUGAUCUAUCUCGUCCUCUGGUGGUGUUGGGCUGACAGCCUUCCUUUUCUGGCUUCGGGCCUCCCGCAGGGAGACUGUCUCCUGAUUGUGGUCCAAUGGUUGCAGAGCUGCAGCCCCAGUCGCUGAGGCUUUCUUCGGCGCCAUAACGAAGAUUUAUGAUCGCCGAAGGUGUUCAAAAAAUUCAGAGUGGAAGUGAGUUCACCGGAGGUGGGCGCCAAUGUUGGGGACUUGUUCUCAAAUGCUAUGAAUUAAGAACAAGGCAACACAAAAUGUUAAAUGUCAAUAUCCUUCGUCCUUCGAAGCAUUAUUUCCCUAAGGAUAUAAUGAUUUUCGGACGAAGGUUACGAAGGACAUACCUUCAUAAGUUCAUUAUAUAGUGACGAAGGAUAAAAUGUAAAGAAUAUAAAAGACAACAUAAAUAAUUAUAUAUUACUCAUCAGACAUAAACAAAAACAUUAUUGAAUUACAAGUGUACCUCCGAUUGAAAGGAGAUGAAAGUACAAGCGUGACGCAAAAAGCGAAUGCCAAGUCAGCGUGAACAGUACGGGGGUACUGUUCACCUAUUUAUAGGCACGGGACACAACCCAUACAAAAUUACAUUCAUGCCCUUUACACUUAGUAAUAAUUCUAUAGUAAUCUGUCGAGGUCUAAAUAGCCUUUUCAUCUUUAAGUCGGUUUCACUUUUUGUUGUCGCGCCGAAGCUUUCCUGCUCACACCUUCGGCGCUGUAUCAACCUUC